GGGGAGGGGGCCGCCACGGCAGGACAGCUGACUCCGCUCGGUAGCCCCGCCCUGGCCUCCUAGGCUCCGGGCCAAUGUCACCGUCCCCUCCCCUGGCCACCUCUGCUGGACCAUUGAUUCUGUAUGAAUAUUCAUGCAGCAUUUCAGCCAGGGCUAGUCAUUAAUAUUCCAAGAAAGCAGAAUGGGGCCGCGUUGGGUUCUCCUGUGUGAAUGGGGGUCACGCGCGCUGAUGGGGACGUGGCCUGGGCCUCGCGGACACUUGCAUCAGCCUCCGGGGCUUCUGUCUGAAGACGCUGUCUGAUCAACCCACUGACCGACCGCAGGCAGGCAGACGCUCGCCCUGCAUCCACGGCCCUCUCUGUGCUGAGGAUACUGAGGAAGGCCCGGCGUCUGUGGUCUCACCCUUGGGAUCCCCAGAGCAACACCUGCCUGCCCCAGCAUCUAGCCAGGCCGCCUGGCACUCUGGGCCCUUGGGGGUCCUGGCUUAAGUCCUGCCCCACUCUGGCCCGGGGCCAGUCCCCACGGGUGGCAGUACCCGCCCCUUUCAGCUUGUGCCCGCCCCACGGCUCUAGGUCACAAGGGCCAAGGUGGCAGGUGCCCACAGUUGGGCCAGCCGGGGUGGGAGAGCUCUGCCCAACCGGGGCUCCUGUGAGCUUGCCUGUGCCCAGGGUGGUGCACUCGCCAUCUCUUGGCUUAGGAGGAUGAGCUGACUCUGGGGCCGUGGCGGCGGUGCCUGAGCACCCUUCUCUUCUGCCUCAGGCCGUGGACGUGCCUGGACUGGGGGCGCCUGGCAGCCCGCCUGCUCAGGCCCUCCCGGCAUCCGUCUGCCACCCCCUCAGGCGCAGUGCGGGCCACACAGUGAGAGCCACAGCAACCCUGCCGGAGGCCCCGUGUGACACAGCUGCCAGCCUGCCUGGGCACGCUGCCCGGUGGGGCUGGGGGAGGGGCAGGCCCACGGGCGCUGAGUCAGCUGCCCCCGCAUGGUCCCGUCCCCACCCGGGCAGGGAUGUUGGUGAGGUUGGGGGUGGAGGGGGUGCAGCUCCCAUCUUUGGGGGAGCUGUCAAUGGCUGGGGAUUUUCUGGAAAGUGGCUCCUGCAGGAGCCAGGCCUGGAG
Bos taurus (domestic cattle) is the source of this 1113-nucleotide long non-coding RNA. Lineage: Eukaryota; Metazoa; Chordata; Mammalia; Artiodactyla; Bovidae. The record is from Ensembl.